Molecule: ribosomal RNA, 650 nt
Filed under: uncultured Campylobacterota bacterium
Lineage: Bacteria; Pseudomonadati; Campylobacterota
Description: bacterial SSU rRNA
Rfam family: Bacterial small subunit ribosomal RNA
Source: RNAcentral
AGAGUUUGAUCCUGGCUCAGAAUGAACGCUGGCGGCGUGCCUAAUACAUGCAAGUCGAACGAGAACGGAACUAGCUUGCUAGUUUGUCAGCUAAGUGGCGCACGGGUGAGUAAUGUAUAGCUAAUGUGCCCCUUGGAGGGGGAUAACAGUUGGAAACGACUGCUAAUACCCCAUACUCCUUCUUUACACAAGUAAAGUCGGGAAAUGGUUUUUUCCGCCAAGGGAUCGGGCUAUAUCGCAUCAGCUUGUUGGUGGGGUAACGGCCUACCAAGGCUAUGACGCGUAGCUGGUCUGAGGGGAUGAUCAGCCACACUGGAACUGAGACACGGUCCAGACUCCUACGGGAGGCAGCAGUAGGGAAUAUUGCACAAUGGGCGAAAGCCUGAUGCAGCAACGCCGCGUGGAGGAUGACACUUUUCGGAGCGUAAACUCCUUUUAUCAGAGAAGAUAAUGACGGUAUCUGAUGAAUAAGCGCCGGCUAACUCCGUGCCAGCAGCCGCGGUAAUACGGGGGGCGCAAGCGUUAUUCGGAAUCACUGGGCGUAAAGGGUGCGUAGGCGUCUUGAUAAGUAUCCCGUGAAAUCCUAUGGCUCAACCAUAGAACUGCGGGAUAAACUGUCAAGAUAGAGUCCGGAAGAGGUAAGUGGAAUU